This 450-nucleotide ribosomal RNA is filed under the name uncultured bacterium. Its description in RNAcentral is "bacterial SSU rRNA". It matches the Rfam family "Bacterial small subunit ribosomal RNA", at positions 29 to 526 of the family's 1533-position model. The record is from RNAcentral.
AACGAACGCUGGCGGCAGGCUUAACACAUGCAAGUCGAACGCACCGCAAGGUGAGUGGCAGACGGGUGAGUAACGCGUGGGAACGUGCCCUUCAGUUCGGGAUAACCCAGGGAAACUUGGGCUAAUACCGGAUACGUGCGAGAGCAGAAAGAUUUAUCGCUGAAGGAUCGGCCCGCGUCUGAUUAGCUAGUUGGUGAGGUAAUGGCUCACCAAGGCGACGAUCAGUAGCUGGUCUGAGAGGAUGAUCAGCCACAUUGGGACUGAGACACGGCCCAAACUCCUACGGGAGGCAGCAGUGGGGAAUAUUGGACAAUGGGCGCAAGCCUGAUCCAGCCAUGCCGCGUGAGUGAUGAAGGCCUUAGGGUUGUAAAGCUCUUUCAGCUGGGAAGAUAAUGACGGUACCAGCAGAAGAAGCCCCGGCUAACUCCGUGCCAGCCGCCGCGGUAACAC